CACUUGCAAAGUAUUCUCUUGGAACGUGUUAGUCGUUUCACGUUUGAACACUUUGGAUGCUGCCUGACCUGCUGGGCUCCUCUAGCGGAGUGUUUUAUCCCCAAUUUAUGUCUAAUUUCAUUGAAAGUUGAAAAUGGUCAAACUGAAUAAAGUAAGUAUCUAUUAGAAAUGAGACAGAAG
Amblyraja radiata (thorny skate) is the source of this 180-nucleotide long non-coding RNA. RefSeq lists it as uncharacterized. The record is from RefSeq and is a predicted model, not a curated record. The transcript has 2 exons. Lineage: Eukaryota; Metazoa; Chordata; Chondrichthyes; Rajiformes; Rajidae.